Molecule: long non-coding RNA, 1026 nt
Filed under: Coturnix japonica (Japanese quail)
Lineage: Eukaryota; Metazoa; Chordata; Aves; Galliformes; Phasianidae
Description: lncRNA (ENSCJPG00005006759.1)
Source: RNAcentral
AUGCCAUUGUAUUCUGUUUGUAGGGGGUAUUUAAAGAGCAGCAACACUGGAAUGGCCAGAAGGAAGCAGUCAUGCUCCUUUGACCACUUACACAUAACACUGCACAGUGGGUUGAGAAGGUGGAAUUUGGUCCAUUGUCUGUUUGGUGCUGAUAAAGAUCACUUCUCUGUGUUUGAACUGUUUUUCAGGUGCAUAGUUACCUGGGCCCAGGUCACUGCCUGCAGACUGAGGCAGCAAGAAGCCCUCUGUUAUUUUAGAAGUGUCAGGGAGCACCAUCUUCUAGAGGGGAGUUUUGCAGAAUGGAAAGUGAAGUUCUUGGCAGCUAAACAGCGGUUGCUGAGAGAGGAGAAAAACCACAAGUGGCAUGGAUGUUCUCAAGGAAAAGCCUGUCAGCGCUGGCGAUUGGCCUCAAGGGGACAGCAAGCCCUACACUUAGGGUCUGUGGCCACUGUGAAACAGGCCUGCAACUACUGGACAAAAGCAGCUGCCUUUUCCCAGUGCUCACGGCAAUGCGGUACCCUGAUAGGUGCUAGGAAGAGCAAGAAGAUGGCUUUGUCUUUGUCCAUAAGUAAGAUACCUCAUUCCCUCUUCCUUUUGUGGGGCCAUAUGGGGUGUGUGAGUGGGGAGGGGUGCUUGCCAACCUAAUCACUGGGGUUUCUCUGUGAAGUAGUUGCUCACUGCAGUCAAAUUUUGACUAUGGACUGCUUCUGUUUUUAGUGUCCAAAGGACUGAGAACCUGUGGCGACUCUAAUCUCUUCUCUAGCUCCUGUGUUAGCUCCUGUGUGAUUCCUCUUUUCUUUCCUAGAAAGGAGAGGAUGCAGAGAGAAAGGUUCAGCUCCGGCUGCUUCCCUUGGGUUUUUUCCCAGUGCUGUUCACCGCUGGCUGGUGAUCUACAGAAGCCAAAGGAGGACUGAAAGGCUGCUGCUCCCUCAACAGCUAGAGAUACAUGAGUUGGUAGGACCCAUCCCUGUGCAUGCCAGGAUCCAGGAGAAUAAAGCAGAGGUGGAUUCUGAUGAGUGGAAUGAG